Myxocyprinus asiaticus (Chinese sucker) is the source of this 8603-nucleotide RNA transcript. It is a transcript of the gene named RNA-binding protein 4-like, with no coding region annotated. The record is from RefSeq and is a predicted model, not a curated record. The transcript has 5 exons. NCBI's taxonomy places the organism in Eukaryota, Metazoa, Chordata, Actinopteri, Cypriniformes, Catostomidae.
UGCAUGAGUUACUGAGUGAAUACAUCAGCAUGUGUUCAUUCCUCUGCUGAAGAAUGAGAGCGUUUCUAAAGAACGGAAGUGGACCGACCAUUUUGAAACCACGCACCGCUUAGCACAAUGGAUAAGGGCCACACGGUUAAGCUCUUUGUUGGGAACCUGGCACUGGACACUACGCAAGAAGAACUGUCAGCCAUUUUUGAGUCUUAUGGCCAGGUGGUUAGCUGCAGUGUUUUGAGGCAGUUUGCUUUCGUCCACCUGCAAGGAGAGGGCGCUGCUGAACGUGCCAUUCGGGAGCUCAAUGGCCGAGAGUUCAAAGGUCGUAACCUUGUGGUUGAGGAGUCCCGGGGCCGCCCACUCCAUUCAACAAAGGUGUUUGUGGGUAAUCUGAGCAGUAUGUGCACCACAGAAGACCUCCAGGAGCUGUUUCAGACUUUUGGGAAAGUUCUGGAGUGUGACAAAGUGAAAGGUUAUGCCUUUGUACAUAUGGAGAACAAGGAAGAUGCCCUGCAGGCUAUUGAAGCUUUGCAUGGGACUUCCUUCAAAGGCCGACCACUAUCCGUGGAGCUCUCCAAAGUUCAGCCAAGUAAGCAGACCCCUACUGGAAAGAUCCCAUGUGUAAGCUGUGGCAAACAGGGUCACUACGCAGGUGAAUGCCCUGCUGGGAAGCCCACCCUGGAGCAAUAUCAGAGCCAAGCAGCAGUGCUAGCCGCUGCGGCUGCUGCUGCGGCUGGUCUGCCAUUGCAGGUUCAACAGAGUGUCCACAAUUCUGUGUACAACACCUCUACUUUUGACCCCACUUAUGCUGCUCUGAGUGGACUUACUGCUGGUGCAAGGGCAGAAGGAGGUACAGCGGUGGCUCCAGCCGUCUAUGGCGCACUAGCUAGUCAAGUGUAUGGAACAGUUGCUAAUCAGCUCUACAGCGGGACAGUCGCAAAUCAGGCGCUCAGCAACAGUGCUGCUGCGGCUGCUGCUGCACAGAUGUAUGGCUCUGUUAACCCAGCUUUUUAUGGGCAGAUGGCCGCCGCAGCUGCUGCCGCUGCAUACGGUCCACAGGUUUAUACUUCGGCGGUAGCUAAUCCAGUGUUCCUGGCGGCACACGGCAUGGAGGUACCGGCAGCUGCUGCUGUCAACCCAGCCUAUACAGUAGCACCAGCCCUCUACAGUGCUAGCCCAGCUUAUGGGGCUCUGGGUUCAGCUGAUCCAGCAGCUAUCUUUGAGGCAGCCAGGGCACACUACUUUGCACAAGGGCAGCAGGUUCUAGCUGAACAGCAACAUACUAGCUCCAAGUCAGGAGAAAGGGACCGGAGUCCACUAAGAAGAUCUGCCCCGUUGUUGCCAGACCCUGUUAUGAAGCCAUUUAUGUACCAGAGGGCCAAACGCAGAGCCUUGUUGCCUACACCUGCAGGUCGAGAGGAGGCUGCUGCACAGGAGGACGACCCUGUAGCCAGAUAUUACGCGGAAUACUACCAACAGUACCAGCAGUACCAGCAGCUGCAGCAGUACCCACAGUACCAGUAUGCCUAUGCAUCUCCCAACCACCUUGCAGCAUUGUCCGGACUGUCCACCCUGUCUGGUAUGCCCACUCAGCAAGUAGCAACGCUCGACAGCCUCAGGCCAAUGCUGCCCACCACCGCCGUGCCUGCCGCCAUCGCCAUGGCAACACCCCGCGUGUAUGAGCCUCCGCCGAUUCCGCCAUCGCAAAAGGAGCCCCUCCUCCGCCGCCCCGAACUUGCCCUACACACCCCUGAAACACCCUUCCGAUAGUGUGCUCCAAGUCCUUUCUGCCUCUCCUUUCGUUGUGCUGCGUGUGUGUGUCAGUUAAACAAACACAGGUGUAUGCUUAUGACGUGUCCGUGUUUGGGUUUAAGAUAGUGGGCGUGUUGGUUUUACCUGGAGACUGGAAUCUCUAACCUUGGUUCUGAUCACACACCCGGUUCAGUCAGGGCUGAAAAGGAAACUGCAUGCUCUCAUUCCUGCACACUUAACCAAUGAAACACAUCAGUGGUCUGUUUUAAUAAAUGUCUUUUGACCUUAAAUCUAUUGCCAGUUAGGAGUAGAUUAGGGGUUGGGGUAGGAUAAAUUAGGCAAUAGCCAUGUUGCUUUUUAACUUUUAUAUUCAUAAAUGUUUGUAGUCUAUGAAUGAUACUGUACUUGAUAUUUUUAAACAUUGCUUGAAAUAGUUAUACGAACGUAACCAUUUUACAUAUUCAGAUAGUUAUUGAGAAAUUAGAUUUCAAAACAUUUCAGUAAAUUUGAAAGUAUGUUUACUCCAAAGGUGUGUGAAGUGUAGGACCAGGGUUGGACAGUGUUUUACAUGUCUUUGUGUGUUUCUUGUUUUUCUCUGGGACUGUGGCGUAGCGUGUAUGCUUUCCAUUGGUUGUCACGACUGGACGUGUACACGUGCAUAUGGAAGCAACCUCGAUCCACACGCACAUACAGUUGAAGUCAGAAGUUUACAUACACUUAGGUUGAAGUCAUUAAACCACUCCACAGAUUUCAUAUUAGCAAACUAUAGUUUUGACAAGUCAUUUAGGACAUCUACUUUGUGCAUGACACAAGUACUUUUUCCAACAAUUGUUUUAAAGGCAGAUUGUUUCACUUUUAAUUGACUAUAUCACAAUCCCAGUGGGUCAGAAUUUUACAUACACUAAGUUAACUGUGCCUUUAAGCAGCUUGGAAAAUUCCAGAAAAUGAUGUCAAGCCUUUAGACAAUUAGCCAAUUAGCUUCUGAUAGGAGGUGUACUGAAUUGGAGGUGUACCUGUGGAUGUAUUUUAAGGCCUACCUUCAAACUCAGUGCCUUUUUGCUUGACACCAUGGGAAAAUCUAAAGAAAUCAGCCAAGACCUCAGAAAACAAUUGUGGACCUCCACAAGACUGGUUCAUCAUUGGGAGCAAUUUCCAAAUGCCUGAAGGUACCACUUUCAUCUGUACAAACAAUAGUACGCAAGUAUAAAUGCCAUGGGACCACACAGCCAACAUACCGCUCAGGAAGGAGACGCAUUCUGAUUCCUAAAGAUGAACGUAGAUGGUGCAAAAAGUGCAAAUCAAUCCUAGAACAACAGCAAAUGACCUUGUGAAAAUGCUGGAGGAAACAAGUAGACAAAUAUCUAUAUCCACAGUAAAACGAGUCCUAUAUCGACAUAACCUUAAAGGCUGCUCAGCAAGGAAGAAGCCACUGCUCCAAAGCCGCCAUAAAAAAGCCAGACUACAGUUUGCAAGUGCACAUGGGGACAAAGUUCUUACUUUUUGGAGAAAUGUCCUCUGGUCUAAUGAGACAAAAAUGUUACUGUUUGGCCAUAAUGACCAUUGUUAUGUUUGGAGGAAAAAGGGUGAGGCUUGCAAGCCGAAGAUCACCAUCCCAACCAUGAAGCAUGGGGGUGGCAGCAUCAUGUUGUGGGGGUGCUUUGCUGCAGGAGGGACUGGUGCACUUCACAAAAUAGAUGGCAUUAUGAGCAAGGAAAAUGAUGUGGAUAUUUUGAAGACAUCAAGAUAUCAGCCAAAUGGGUCUUCCAAAUGGACAAUGACCCCAAGCAUACCUCCAAAGUUGUGGCAAAAUGGCUUAAGGACAACAAAGUCAAGGUAUUGGAGUGGCCAUCACAAAGCCCCGACCUCAAUCCGAUAGAAAAUUUGUGGGCAGAACUGAAGAAGUGUGUGCGAGCAAGGAAGCCUACAAACCUGACUCAGUCACACCAGUUCUGUCUGGAGGAAUGGGCCAAAAUUCCAGCAACUUAUUGUAAGAAGCUUGUGGAAGGCUACCCAAAACAUUUGACCCAAGUUAAACAAUUUAAAGGCAAUGAUACCAAAUACUAACAAAGUGUAUAUAAAUGUCUGAUCCACUGGGAAUGUGAUGAAAGAAAUAAAAGCUGAAAUAAAUAAUUCUCUCUGCUAUCAUUCUGACAUUUCACAUUCUUAAAAUAAAGUAGUGAUCCUAACUGACCUAAAACAGGGAAUGUUUUCUAUGAUCAAAUGUCAGGAAUUGUGAAAAACUGAGUUUAAAUGUAUUUGGUAUAUGUAAACUUGUGACUUCAGCUGUACAUAUGCAUCCCUUACACCCCAGAUAGGUGAAACCUUAGUGAUGACCUUUAACCCCACCCUUCCAUCCCUGUCCACCCAUCCUGAAAGCUGAAAGACACUGUGACUUCUCUCCCCUCCUACUUUAUGUAGCUACUUCCAUAGAUAUGGUGACGUAUGGGAAACACCCAAUCAGAGGAAGGUGUAGCUAGUCAGAUUUGCUGGGAUGGGCCCUCUGGCCUGUCUGUCUUAUGGGAGCGUCUUUACGUCACCGACUUAACUGCCACAAUGCAUUGUAGAAUCUGUUUUUGUAAAUGUCUUUUAUUAAUGCAAUCAUGUUUAUAUAUAUAUAUAUAUAUAUAUAUAUAUAUAUAUAUAUAUAUAUAUAUAAAAGUAGUUAUAAGGGACUAAAAUAUCCAUUUUAAGAAACAUACUUUUAAUUUGUAACUUUUGUUUACAGCUGCAAGCGAGAAAUACUCACACUGAUUGUUUAUAGCCAAAAAACACGGCAAAAUCAUGUUUUUAGUGGCCUAUGAUUCUUAUGCCUUAGUAGUGAAUUGUAUACAGUUUUUUCUAUUUUUUAUCUGUAGUCUUAUAAUGUGAAACUGGAUUAAGGCAACACGUAUGUGCUGUAUAUUCUGUGGUGCUGUGAUUUGGAAUUAAAUGCAUUGGGAGAUUCUUAUCAGUUUCUUUCAGUCUUCCUGCUCUUUUCGCUGCUGAAACUCCAUAGUUGACCCUCACUGCAUCUCUCUUCAUCUCUCGUUGCAUCUGCCUCUCAUUUAGUGCCAGUAUGUCAUUCGUUUACCAUGCCCCUGUUCGCACCUAUGUGCUGAGGAUGCCAAUGUGUGAAUGUUAUCUUAGAAAAUGUUUGCAUUGACAUUCAUGUUUGUAGUUUCUGUCAUGGUAACUAUUUUUGCCGCAAGUGUUCUCUGAAGUGAAGACUGUACACAAUCUUUACUGACUAAAUAACUUCAAAUAAGGAGCUUGCCCAAUCAUCUAAAAAAGGAAACAGGAGCUUUUGCUUGGAGCUUUUACUAUUGAUGUUUCAUGAUUGUUUUUCCUUUGUGAAAGACUAGACUCUUACGAAUUGGAGCCCUAAAAAGAAGCUAAAGGACUAGAGACUGAUCCCAAUCUCACCCCUGUCUCUGUGGAUGGGGUCCCAAUGGAACUGUGGACACCAUGCGCAGUGCUGUUUGUGGGGGGUGAAGAAAGUUAGCAUGGGGAAAUGCACAGGAAGUUCUCUCACUCCAUUCAGGUAAAAGCACUGUGCCUCGCCCCUUUUCUAACUGUCGUCCACCCUGAUAGCGUCUGCGCCUUGACCGUGUACCCGCUCUAUUUCUCCUCACCACCAUCCCACCCCUCCUGUAGAUUACAGACUUUAAACACCAGUGUUACGCUACUCUGUCACUGCCAAAAGGGGGCGGCGGGGAUGACCAUUUACUGCUUUGGUGGUUAGUGUGUCUCUGUAAUGGGUGGGUGCUUGGUGAUGCGUUGGGGUAGCUUUGGAGAGAAUGUGGUGAUAAUUAGUCUAAAUAUGGUUGGUGAGUGAAUGAAUAAAUAUUAAAUACAUUUUGAAUGUGUCUUUAAGUGGGUGUGUGAACACAAGUUAUCAAGAGGUGGCUGAUAAAGAAAGAGUGACAAAGGUGAGUACUUCUGAGUCAAACUGCUCUAAGGCUUGGCAGAUGUGGACCUUGCUCAAGAGUUCCUCCGGUAUCGCCGACCUCGCCUAGUCCUCUGUCCAUGUGCCUUUUUUAUGUUAUGAUUUUACUCCCCCCCCCAACCCCCCCCCCCAGGCUUCCCCAAUAAUGCUCGCCGUUAACGCCCAGCUUACCGCCGCCGUCGUUGCAUCCCCAGUGAUAGCUGUUGAGUUUGUUCAGUGUUUACCACUGCCUGAACGCAUCCUAAUAGCUUUGUAUCACUGGACCUGAAACACCGGCCAAACUUUACAUUCGCAAGACUCUCAUUUGGACUUCGUAACACUGGCAGACCUUAUCUUGGAGUGCAGCAUUUACGGCUGUGCUACAUUGCUGUGACUGAGCCUCAAACUUUUAUAAACUUUUGCUUAUCCCUCCUUGAUCAGUGUUGGGUAGUAACAGAUUUCAUGGCGGGAUAACUGAGAAAUACAAUCUUUGCCAUCCAAAAAUAUAUCAGUUGAUAAAGACCCCACAUCCAAACUUAAAGAGCAAUUGGUUCUCUAUAUGUGUUCUUUAUAUGAACACAUAUAGAGAAAUAUAAAAUUAAAAUCAGUACAUCGUUAAAAAUAUCAAAUAUUUUAAUAAUUAUUUUAUGUAUCUUAUGGCUAGCCAUUUGUGCAUAUACAGAAAUUGAGAAGCCCACACCUCAUGGAUAAUUAUGAGGUGUCAAUUGUUCAUCUCUACUACAAAUCUAGAGAAAUGCUUGAUAAAAUACCUAGUAAAAUACCUGAACAACAUUCCUGCAUAACAAUAAACAUGCAUGUUUUACUCAGCGACUGACAAAUAGCAAGUACAUUUUUUCACUUUCAUGUUUACUAAUGUUUAAACCGUAAUCCACAAUUAUGUUACUGAUUACAAUUUUAGUUGUGUUAUCAGUACUGAAUUACAUUUCAGAAGUAAUCUACCCAACACUGUCCUUGGUUGACGAAACUUUUCAGGCUUGAAGAGCAGCUUUUGUCGUCCCACAAAGUUAGGGUUAAUGAACAUUGUCAUAUUAUUGAAAUUAUCUUUUGAGUUAAUCAGAAACCCACAUUUUGUCCGCUGUUCAAAUGAGAGUCUGAUAUGUUUGUGUGUGAAGUAGCUUGGGUUACUUGCAGAUCCUUUUUUCUAGAAAAAAUAAAAAUACAAAAACCUGUCUCAUGCCUCUUUUCCACCAACUGGGUGCCGGUGCCUAUUCCGUAACAGUUCUGUGUGUUUCUACCACAGAAAAGAUAGUUCUGAGCCAGAAAAAUUGGCUCUGCACUGGCCAGGUGUUUAAGUUAAACCUGUUGGCGUUGAACCAGAAACCUCUAACUGUAGAGGCCAGGGGCAGUAUAAUGUCUUAACCAAGUACCGUUUUUAAAACAAUAAUCAGCAUUCUGGAUCAGAUUGCACCUAGCCAACCACGUUGCCUCUUAAAGUAUACUCUUUUUGACUGUGAGCGAAUAUGAAUGCGUUUGUUGUAUGCCCACUACAACUGCUUUUUGACAUUGCAUGUGCUGGCCACUGAUACUAAACAGUGACAAUGGGCGCAGAUGAGGAUAGCCAAAGUAUACUUAGGAUUUUAAUUGCUCCAUUUAAGGCUGUCAAUUUAAAAUGAUAAUUUCUGUCAAAUUUGAAAAAUGUACAUUUGAAUGCUUAAACUGUGCAUUCGAAUUUUGGAUGUGUGCCAAGCACUGACAAUGACUUAAGACCGAUCACAUUCUUGCGCUAAAAAAAGGCUAGAUGCAGCGCAACAAAUACAGUUUAACAGAACGCAGGUGUCUUGAGAUGUUUUUUUUUUUUGGUUUUUUUUGAGGGUUGAAGUUCUUUUUAACAAGGCAUCUAAAAAAACAGUGCUCCUGCACAAGACAAUAAAUGAACAUUGAAACGUGGCCAAAUGAUCAAAAACGUUCGUCUAACACCUGUUUUACAUAGAAAAAAGUAAAGGUAAACUGGAUGGUUAUAAAAGCUUUUGGUGUGAACUGUGUUUCUCAGAUUAAGAAACUGGUUUUAAAAUGCUUUAUCAGGAAAGGAGUUCAAUUUAGAAAUGUCUGUCAAUAAAAGUAAAUGCAGAUUUUUUACAGCCAGGAAUGUUCUUUGCAAUAAUAUAAACCUGUGCUGUAUGGUUUCUGUGUAUUAAUUGCACCCUCUUGUGGACUAAGGAAACACAAUUUAAAAAUCUGCUGAAUUUAGUUUCUCAGCCCUGUUGACAGCCCUAGCUCCCAUUAUAAUCAAUGGAACUUUUUACACUGGAAAUGCCUGAUUCAUCGCAUCACAUUACAAGCUCAAUUGACGAGCUCAGUCACAUGUAAUUUUUGUCAUGUUGCAAAAAGUCUCCAGACACAUGCCCAAGUCUGAAAAAUGUGUCUUUGAUGGCAGAUGUAACUGAUAGUUUUCAGAGGUGUUUGAGUGGAACAUUUCAUUCAGUAUGUGGGUUCUUUAAUAUCUCGCAUUGAAUAACAAUCCUUCUACAAUUUAAUCUUCCAACAUAAGCCUCCCUGAGGAGAUGGCACAUUCCACAGUUUCCAUGGAUAACGGAAUGCUCCCCCUGACCAUGUUCUUCCACCACAGAUCCCUUCUAGUUGUUGUAUCCCCUUAAAUUUGGAAAGCUCCAAUAUUUUGUUUUAUUUUUUUCUCUGAUUUUUUUCUCUGUUUAUAAGGUUAUCGCGGACUGGGUGAAGACAGUUCUUGGACUUUUGAAGGUUAAAGUCAGUCAUUUUUAACUGAUGUAUGAAACUGGAAUUAUUUCUAUUGCAGGCGAUAGGAUACAAGCUGGUCAUAAUUUUUUAUUACCUUCUGAAGAAUAUAUGCAUGUUUGUUAAUGUGUGUAUAUCACGAAAACCUUGCAACUUGUGAAGUGUACUCUUCUACACCAGCUUCUGCACGAACACUGUCUAGCAUCGCAUGCUUGCUGCAAUAAACUAGUACAAUACCACA